Molecule: ribosomal RNA, 253 nt
Filed under: uncultured bacterium
Lineage: Bacteria
Description: partial 16S ribosomal RNA
Rfam family: Bacterial small subunit ribosomal RNA
Source: RNAcentral
UACAGAGGUGGCAAGCGUUGUUCGGAAUUACUGGGCGUAAAGGGCGCGUAGGCGGCCAACUAAGUCAGACGUGAAAUCCCUCGGCUUAACCGGGGAACUGCGUCUGAUACUGGUUGGCUUGAAUCCGGGAGAGGGAUGUGGAAUUCCAGGUGUAGCGGUGAAAUGCGUAGAUAUCAGGAGGAACACCAAUGGCGAAGGCAGCUCGCUGGGACGUGACUGACGCUGAGACGCGAAAGCGUGGGGAGCAAACAGG